GUCUAUGGCCAUGCCACCCCGAAAGUGCCGGAUCUCGUCAGAUCUUGGAAGCUAAGCAGGGUCGGGCCUGGUUAGCACUUGGAGGGGAGACUACCUAGGAAUACCAAGUACUGUAGGCA
This 119-nucleotide ribosomal RNA is filed under the name Pteropus alecto (black flying fox). Lineage: Eukaryota; Metazoa; Chordata; Mammalia; Chiroptera; Pteropodidae. The record is from RNAcentral.